RNAcentral lists this ribosomal RNA (503 nucleotides) under uncultured bacterium. RNAcentral describes it as "partial 16S ribosomal RNA". It matches the Rfam family "Bacterial small subunit ribosomal RNA", at positions 29 to 507 of the family's 1533-position model. The record is from RNAcentral.
AACGAACGCUGGCGGCGUGCCUAACACAUGCAAGUCGAACGAGAAAGGGGCUUCGGCUCCGAGUAAAGUGGCGCACGGGUGAGUAACACGUGGGUAACCUGCCUCUAAGAUUGGGAUAACUCGUCGAAAGAUGAGCUAAUACCGAAUAAGACCACAGUUCCCGCGGGAACAGGGGUCAAAGGUAGCCUCUGCUUGCAAGCUAUCACUUAGAGAUGGGCCUGCGCACCAUUAGCUAGUUGGUAGGGUAACGGCCUACCAAGGCAAAGAUGGUUAGCUGGUCUGAGAGGAUGAUCAGCCACACUGGAACUGAGACACGGUCCAGACUCCUACGGGAGGCAGCAGUGGGGAAUAUUGCGCAAUGGGCGAAAGCUUGACGCAGCAACGCCGCGUGAGUGAUGAAGGCCUUCGGGUCGUAAAGCUCUGUCGGGAGGAACGAAUGCCCCUGAGGUUAACAGCCUCGGGAGGUGACGGUACCUUCAAAGGAAGCACCGGCUAACUCUGUG